RNAcentral lists this non-coding RNA (31 nucleotides) under Rattus norvegicus (Norway rat). Lineage: Eukaryota; Metazoa; Chordata; Mammalia; Rodentia; Muridae. The record is from RNAcentral.
CCUGGUUUUCCAGAUGAUUGCUAACUUGUGC